GGUUCGGUGGUGUAGUUGGUUAUCACAUCUGUCUAACAUGUCUCGGUCACGGGACAAAUGGACACAGAAGGUCCCGAGUUCAAACCUCGGCUGAAUCA
RNAcentral lists this transfer RNA (98 nucleotides) under Coniosporium apollinis. RNAcentral describes it as "tRNA-Val". Lineage: Eukaryota; Fungi; Ascomycota; Dothideomycetes. The record is from RNAcentral.